AGGACAAACGCUGGCGGAAUGUAUUAGGCAUGCAAGUCGCACGAACCUUCGGGUUAGUGGCGGACGGGUGAGUAACACGUGGGUAACCUGCCUCGUAGUGGGGAAUAACUCGUCGAAAGGCGAGCUAAUACCGCAUAACACCCCCGGUGAGAUUCCGGGUGGUAAAAGCUCUGGCGCUACGAGAGGGGCCCGCGGCCGAUUAGCUUGUUGGUGGGGUAAUAGCCUACCAAGGCGACGAUCGGUAGCUGGUCUGAGAGGAUGGUCAGCCACACGGGGACUGAGAUACGGCCCCGACUCCUACGGGAGGCAGCAGCUAAGAAUCUUGCGCAAUGGGCGAAAGCCUGACGCAGCAAUUCCGCGUGGGGGACAAGGCCCCUCGGGUCGUAAACCCCCUUUUGUGAAGGAAGAAGUUCUGACGGUACUUCACGAAUAAGACACGGCUAACUACGUGCCAGCAGCCGC
This 462-nucleotide ribosomal RNA is filed under the name uncultured bacterium. RNAcentral's name for it is "SSU rRNA". It matches the Rfam family "Bacterial small subunit ribosomal RNA", at positions 26 to 518 of the family's 1533-position model. The record is from RNAcentral.